RNAcentral lists this long non-coding RNA (514 nucleotides) under Anas zonorhyncha (Eastern spot-billed duck). RNAcentral's name for it is "lncRNA (ENSAZOG00000011534.1)". The record is from RNAcentral. Lineage: Eukaryota; Metazoa; Chordata; Aves; Anseriformes; Anatidae.
GCAGAUUAAAUGAGCAUGUGGCAUUUUCAUUUUUCCAAGGAGACUUUUUUUUAAAAAAAAAGCCUCCUCUUUUUCUCUUUUUCUUCCACACUGCCAUUAAUGAUCCUCCAGCAGCUUUCCCAGGACUCCCAGGACUUUCUGCGUGCAUUGCUAACCAAAAUCACCUAACCAAAAGCAAGGGCGUGCAUUCACUUCAAUACAUCAACACAGGAAGAGCAGCUUAAGGAGAAAAGAAGAUCCUGGAGGCGCCCCAGCAAACUGGGAUACCUGGUCUCCUGCCAAUGUUCCACCGAGCAUCUGUCCUGUGAGCCUCUGCAGUUUUCCCUCCCCAAGAGCCAGACCUCUCGGUUUUAGAUGGAGCACAGCCUGCUGCCAGUCUGAGAACCAGGGGAACGGCGUUUGUGACGCCCUUGAAUUGCUUUGGUUAAAUUUCCCCGCAACUACACUGCCCUCCAGCAUUCAUGGUGAUCCUGAAACCUCACCUCCUAAGCACCCUCACUCUUCUAGAUCUGCU